AAGCUAGGGAGUGAGGAGUUUGUUUGUGAGCUAACUCAUGACCGAAAUUUUAAUCACAAACUACGCUCGUAGAAAGUCAGGCUGGUCUGCUUUCGGACACGGGUUCGACACCCGUCGCCUCCACCA
Molecule: transfer-messenger RNA, 126 nt
Filed under: Escherichia coli
Lineage: Bacteria; Pseudomonadati; Pseudomonadota; Gammaproteobacteria; Enterobacterales; Enterobacteriaceae
Also listed under: 1 other name
Description: partial transfer-messenger RNA
Rfam family: transfer-messenger RNA
About the family: Bacterial tmRNA, also known as 10Sa RNA or SsrA, is named for its dual tRNA and mRNA-like properties. Its role is to liberate the mRNA from a stalled ribosome.
Source: RNAcentral